This 253-nucleotide ribosomal RNA is filed under the name uncultured bacterium. RNAcentral's name for it is "partial 16S ribosomal RNA". It matches the Rfam family "Bacterial small subunit ribosomal RNA", at positions 524 to 776 of the family's 1533-position model. The record is from RNAcentral.
UACGUAGGUGGCAAGCGUUGUCCGGAUUUACUGGGCGUAAAGGGCGUGCAGGCGGUUUGUUAAGUGCAGGGUGAAAGCUCCCGGCUCAACUGGGAGAGGUCCUUGCAUACUGGCAAACUCGAGGGAGGCAGAGGAAAGUGGAAUUCCCGGUGUAGUGGUGAUAUGCGUAGAUAUCGGGAAGAACACCCGUGGCGAAGGCGGCUCUCUGGAACGAUACUGACGCUGAGACGCGAAAGCGUGGGGAGCGAACAGG